Molecule: ribosomal RNA, 467 nt
Filed under: uncultured bacterium
Lineage: Bacteria
Description: partial 16S ribosomal RNA
Rfam family: Bacterial small subunit ribosomal RNA
Source: RNAcentral
GACGAACGCUGGCGGCGUGCUUAACACAUGCAAGUCGAACGGAACGGUCCUGUUUUUGUGGGGUGCUCGAGUUGAGACCGGGUGAGUAACCCUUGAGUACCCUGUCCUUGACUGUGGGAGAACCUCAGGAAACUGGAUUUCUUCCGGCCAGGGAUUUCUCCCCUUUGGUUGGGGUCGGAUUGUUUUGGCGGUUUGGGAUGGUCUAGCGGCUCCUCGGCUUGUUGGGGUGGUAGUGGUUUACCAAGGCUUUGACCGGCUGCCGGCCUGGGAGGGUGACCGGCCACAUUGGGACUGGAAUACGGCCCAGACUCCUACGGGAGGCAGCGGUGGGGAAUAUUGCACAAUGGGCGGAAGCCUGAUGCAGCAACGCCGCGUGCGGGAUGACGGCCUUCGGGUUGUAAACCGCUUUCGCCUGUGACGAAGCGUGAGUGACGGUAAUGGGUAAAGAAGCACCGGCUAACUACGUG